GGGGUUGUGACUCAGUGGCAGAGCGCUUGCCUAGCAUGCAUGAGGUACUGGGUUCGAUCCUCAGCACUACA
RNAcentral lists this transfer RNA (71 nucleotides) under Marmota monax (woodchuck). RNAcentral's name for it is "tRNA.Ala". Lineage: Eukaryota; Metazoa; Chordata; Mammalia; Rodentia; Sciuridae. The record is from RNAcentral.